AGACAGGUGCUGCAUGGCUGUCGUCAGCUCGUGUUGUGAAAUGUUGGGUUAAGUCCCGCAACGAGCGCAACCCUUAUCCUUUGUUGCCAGCGGUUAGGCCGGGAACUCAAAGGAGACUGCCAGUGAUAAACUGGAGGAAGGUGGGGAUGACGUCAAGUCAUCAUGGCCCUUACGAGUAGGGCUACACACGUGCUACAAUGGCAUAUACAAAGAGAAGCGACCUCGCGAGAGCAAGCGGACCUCAUAAAGUAUGUCGUAGUCCGGAUUGGAGUCUGCAACUCGACUCCAUGAAGUCGGAAUCGCUAGUAAUCGUGGAUCAGAAUGCCACGGUGAAUACGUUCCCGGGCCUUGUACACACCGCCCGUCACACCAUGGGAGUGGGUUGCAAAAGAAGUAGGUAGCUUAACCUUCGGGAGGGCGCUUACCACUUUGUGAUUCAUGACUGGGGUGAAGUCGUAACAAGGUAACCGUAGGGGAACCUGCGGUUGGA
Molecule: ribosomal RNA, 490 nt
Filed under: Citrobacter freundii
Lineage: Bacteria; Pseudomonadati; Pseudomonadota; Gammaproteobacteria; Enterobacterales; Enterobacteriaceae
Description: bacterial SSU rRNA
Rfam family: Bacterial small subunit ribosomal RNA
Source: RNAcentral